This is a long non-coding RNA of Cephus cinctus (wheat stem sawfly), 1168 nucleotides long. RefSeq lists it as uncharacterized. The transcript has 4 exons. The record is from RefSeq and is a predicted model, not a curated record. NCBI's taxonomy places the organism in Eukaryota, Metazoa, Arthropoda, Insecta, Hymenoptera, Cephidae.
UUUGGAGAAUUCUAUAUUUUUCGUUCACACAUUGUUUGCUUAUCGUUAAAGCAUGAAACCUAUUUUUUACUUUUUUUUCUUGAGUCAGCUAACGAUUUCAAAAUAAUGUUAAAACCGAUCCAGAUUCAAUAAGAAUCCACAGAAUUAGCACUUGAAAGGAAAAUAUAUGCAGCGCCAUUCAUGAUUUUUCUAAAAGUACAAAUUUAAUUAUAAAGAUCAGGGAUACUUUUAUAUCCUUCACCAGAGAAGUAUGGUACCCUUCUCUCUUCCUCAUACUUAAGCUGAUAAAAAGACGCAACGAGCUAUAAUUACCAUGAGUGAGAUUUCCGAACACACCCUAGCACUCGAGAUGAUGCCGUAAUAAGUAGUAAGUAUCCGGAAGGUACUGUGUUUUUAAACGGCAAGUCUAAAAACUAUUCUUGUCGACCUCAGUGUCGUCAGAGAUAAAAAAAAAAGAAAUGUAACUUUCUAUACAUCCUACAAGUGCAACAAGAACAGAUUUAUUGACGCUUAAAAAUGUGAGGCAAGGAGAUACAUAUAAAUGACCUGAAUAAUGAGCAACAUAUGUUAUCGCAUUAGCUUCAAGAUGAAUACGCUGUUCAAUGGUUCUACAUAUCAUGAUGACCCAGGCGUGUUCUUAGAUGGGGAAGUUUACAAGGAAUCCAAAUAUGUUUUACGUUCUCAGAAUGCCAGGAUGUCUAAAAGAUAAUCUCACAAAAUAUUCCUUCCAGAAACCCAAACAAAAACUAUACGAGCAAGAAUUGGUCUGCUAUCCACAAAAAUGGGCCUUUUGCCUUCGGAUGAAAGAAAGAAGUCACCAUUAUUUCGCAACCGAAUGGUACCUUGUCUUCUAGACACUUUCCAAGCAGGUCCUUCCAAGUCAUGGUGAAUUCGGCAUCAAUGGUCUCGUCCUUCUGGUCGGCUAACUCGGCAUCGUUGAUCAUAUCCUCGGCAUCAGAGAAGUUUAGGACAUGCUCGCCACGAGGAAGACUCUGCACGGUUUGAUCAGGAGGUCCUCUUCUGCUUUGCUGUAUAAUGUUCUUGCUUGUACGCUUGCUAUUAACUCUGGAUGCAAGUUACGCAUUGCCUGGACAGCAACACGAGAUACAGCACUGUCAUAUAACAGAGCAUACCAUCUCUGCUGUAUUUCCUGAAGGGUGAAUCGACA